GCAUAGUAUAGCAUAGCAGGGAGAUACUUUCUCAGGAUGAGUGUUUUCAAGAUUCAAGAGAGACGACUUGUCUUUCAGAGGGUGAAAGCCUCGGCACGGGAUUGUUGUGUUAUGCACAGUUUCGUCACGGCACAACAGGCAGGUCAGCUUUCAUUCAUUCGCCGUUGACGCUGCGGUACGGACGGAGUGGAUGCAGAAGAUCAGAAGUUUCAGCCAGGGUACGAGCCAUCCCCGCGCCAGGAAAUGUGCUUGCGUGGUUCAUUGCAGGACGGUGUAUAUUUACCAGUAGGCCAGUAGCUUGGGAGCGGCCAUAAAGAUCAAACAAGACGCGGCAGACAAGAAUUAACAAGAACCUUCUGCUCGGUGCAGCCGGAGAGAUUUCUUUUUUGUCAUGGCAUCAAUAUUCUCAUCUAACUCAUUUUUUUUAAAUCACACAAAAAAAAGACAAUUAAAUAAAGAAAACAAACAAAAGAAAUUACUUAUUAAAAGGAAAAACUCCAAAGGGGCUUUCCUUUCUUUCAUGUAUCUAGGGCAGCCUUUCGACUUUGGCGAAACCAUCGCUUAUCCAGGACUUCGGCUUCGCCUGUCACUUAUAAAGUUAUGUUAUAAAUGUUUCAUCAGCAGAUAUACACCAGCGCGCUGCGCGUUUCAGCGCAACUCCAGGAUCAAUACAGGAAGGAAGACGGAGCCUAAAUUGCUUGGGCAGCUGACAGGAAACUCUCCCUUGAGUCCAUCACUCAUGUCACAGCGAGUUGGGAUCAGAAAAUAAAGAUGAGGGAAAUUAGAUAUUUCUUUUCUCCUUUAUAAUUUUCCGGGGGACUGACUAGCGCACCACAAACAGUUGAAAAGAAACAGAUAGCAGCAGCAGUUAGCACGCUGUAUAUAAGAGGAGCCUUUUUUUCGUUAUUCUUCAUUAUUCACAUCGGAUUGUCACGUCCUGUCUUUCAAGUGAACAGCCUGAAGACACGGCAGCCAUUUGGAUAGUUUCACUGUUUGCUCGAUCUUCCAUUCAGUCAGUUUGAAAUAAAUCAACACUGUCUCUAAAUCAUUACGCGUGUGACUCAUCGGUAGGAUACAGUUUUUUUGUUUUUUUUUUAAAUAAGGUAAAAUAUAUACAUUUUUUGUGACAAGUUGCCUUCCAUUCCAUAAAUUUUUAAAUAAUCAGUCUCAGACUUGGCUGUUAGUUCGAGUACAAGAAAAUGAAUGGGAAACCUAUCUAAAGUGCUUGUUCCAAAUUGUUUAGCAAGACAUUGUUCUUGUCCAAUGUAGGAAGAAAAAAAAAAAAACAAUAUGCUUCAUCUUGUAAGAGGCAUGAAAAACACUGAUGUUUUUGAGGAGCAUUAAGACAGAUUUCGGCCGCUGUUGAGCAGGAAACAGAUAUUUGUAACUCUGUGUCCGUGGCGUCCCAAGAACCUGUCAGUGCGGCCUCCCCCCAGAGCUUGGCGGUUGCGCACAACGCCUCUUUCAAUCCAUAAUGAAGAACAGCCCACAAAAUGAAAUGUUUGCAACAGAUUCAGAAAGACAAGCUCCAUACUAGAUGGUCAGGAUGGAUGGAUGGGGUCCAGGAUGAUUUGUGAACGGUCGCUGAUAUAGGCUGGAGCAUUGGUAGGUAAUAUGUAAUUCUGACAGGCCGAGCCAUGUUGAUGGAUCUCUGAUGAAUUAUCGUUUGGUAUUUUAUUCAUCCACAUGAGCCUCAGUAUGGUCUUCCUCCCUUGCCUCACCUCCUCUCCAGUCUUAUCGACAGACAGCUCACAGCUCUGAGCUAGCAAUACUCUCUGAGCGACACAUAAGCUGCUUUGUGCAUGAAACACACACCUGCUCAAGGGGCGUUUGGAAGCCGAGCAUCCAAUUACAUUUGAAUUCUUCAAUUUGAGCAGUAAUGCGUCAAACGAGUUAUAUCCUCCCCACGCAGUUCUUUCAAUGGUGACGCCGAGUUCGUCACCUCACACUAAUGCUGAGGAGGUUUGGAAGCAUAAAGCAGUAUCCGUUAUUUUAUUUUAAGUUUGCUUCUUUUGCUUCGAGUAAUUUCAUUUCUUCCAUCUUAUUUCUACAUGUUUCCACUUUUUGCAACGCCACUUUCAACCCUUUCAUGUUUCUAAUCCUCCCAUUUUCUCAUUACCAUGUGUGCACUAUUUAUGUGCUCAUUUAACUGUAAUGAAGUCCUGCGAUAGACCCUUCACAGGGCGCUUCCUGCAAAAGGGCACAGAUCAUGUGUGUGUGAUUGGAUUACUGACUGCCUGGUGGUAAUGUUUAACCACAGCAGAGGCUUACCCUUUCACUCUCUCUCUCUUUCUCUUUCUCUCUUGCCCCGUGUGUGUGUGCGUGUAUUUGGAUUUAUUUGAGAAUGGAUUUUACGCCACCUGUUUGUUUCAGACAUCACGUCAGUUCGAACCGCACCACUCGGCUUGGUACGGAAUCCGAAAUUUUGAGUUUCUCCCGACUGCUUCCCAUUUCACGAGGCAUUUAACUCGCAUUGUUUUUAAUGUUGCUGGUAUUCGCUUUUCAACGUAUGGAUACAUUUUGGGUAUAUCACAAGCAGGCGCUGUGAAUUAAGUCAAAGUGGAAAUGAGACGACUGUUUUUGAAAACAAAUAUGAAUGCAGAUUACCUUAAAUAUUUCUCGCAGGGAGUACAGUAGUCCUUCAAAAACUUCCUUAAAUGAGCACUUUGCAGAUUUUCUUCCUCUGUUUAUACGAAUAAACAAAAACAACAGCCUUUUCUCGGCAUCUCCAGUUACCCCUCAAAAUCCUCAGCACUGCUUUCACUCCAAACCAACAAUCUUUCCAGAGCAACAUUUGCAUCUGUUAACAUUAAUGAGCUUAGAGGAUGUAUGGAUGAGUCUACUUUUACCAGUAGAUUUGAUGACAGGGUUUUUAUUUCACAAAGCGUAGGAGGCAGAGAGAAGCGGAGGCUGCAGCUGCAUUAACCUUGCCUUACUGCUGGUCCAUUCACACUGACUGUUAAGAGUGCAAACAUCGACUGCUGCUGUCUUUGCACAAAAUGUUGUCAACAGAAGCUAAAUCAUGCGUCCAUAAAUUUCAGCAUCGGGCUGCUAUUGUUGGACACUGUUGCUAAUGCCAACCAAGAGGAAGCCAAUGUGUGCUUUAAAAUGCAUACUUGUUUCAGUCCUCACUUGGAUGCAGACAUGCUUCUUCAAGAUCCCAAAGACAAAAUGGGAUAAAACACUUUCAGUUGCCUUUCCAGUUUUUCCCUUAAGCUGGGAAGAUGGGCAUGGUCAAUGCAUGUUGUUACAUGUCAGCAUUUUAACAAUGACGGCACAAGCAUAUACGCAGGGCUCUGAAGUUUUGAAUUUAGUUUGGAGUGAGUUUUGUUUUACUUGGGGGGUGUGGGUUGUUUAAAGAUAACCUACCAUCAUUCAUAAGCAAAUAUCCUGCAUAGUUCCUACACUGUAAUAAUCAACUAUUGUAAAAGAUAAUAAUAAUAAUCAGUGGCGUCUUUGCAUUAGGGGUUGGGCAUGACCCCACCAGAGGGCGCUGCUGUGCAGGGGAGAAUUAUACGCUUUUCUAAAUUCUCCUGUGUAAGAUAAUAAUAAAUUCAACUUUGCCUCCAAUUUACUGUCUGCAGUUUUCAUUUGAUGAGUUGUGUGUGAAUAGCGUUGUGAGCCCUGAUGCUCUGUUUCCGCUUGGUGAGGCACAGCCGAGAUGCCCCUAACCUGCUGUGUUGUGGACUGGUUAACUGGUGCGCGUGAAUGCAUGUGUACAGCGCAAACUUCGGUUUGGGUAGUGGGGCCUGAAGUUCAGGGCCCCAGAGGCUUCUUAUUGGAUGAUUUGAAGCAAGGGGCGAGGACUGCACAGGUCUUACUAGCUGGCUAAUGUAGUUGGGAUAAAGAAACAUACCUGUAGCUAAUUAAUUCACAUUUUAUUCGUUCAUUGCAUAAUGAAUUGAGUUAACUACCUGGUUAGUGUACGCUUUAGGACUUUACCACUUGAGCAGACGUUGGAGAUUAAACGUCCAGGACCAGAUCCAUGUUGGAUUUAAUCAUUUUUCAAAAGGGAAAAAACAAAACU
Long non-coding RNA from Mugil cephalus (flathead mullet), 4027 nucleotides. RefSeq lists it as uncharacterized. The transcript has 3 exons. The record is from RefSeq and is a predicted model, not a curated record. NCBI's taxonomy places the organism in Eukaryota, Metazoa, Chordata, Actinopteri, Mugiliformes, Mugilidae.